GAACACCACCCAGUGUGGAGAAGCCCAGCCAAGCACUGUCAGGAAUCCUGUGAAGCAGCUCCAGCUAUGUGUGAAGAAGAGGACAGCACUGCCUUGGUGUGUGACAAUGGUUCUGGGCUCUGUAAGGCCGGCUUUGCUGGGGAUGAUGCUCCCAGGGCUGUUUUCCCAUCCAUCGUGGGACGUCCCAGACAUCAGGUGAGGAAAAUUAUGAUUGGAACAUAAAAGGACACAGAUUAGGUUCCUCUGUGUCCACGUUUAUCCACAGAUUGUCUAUCUCUUUCUGCCCAGAAGUUAUGUAACCUUGUUAAAAAUAUACCUCUGAUGAUUAAGGUCCAGGAGUAAAUGCCAAUUUCACAUACAAUGUAGACAGAUUAUCUGAUGGGCGUCUAUCAGAUACAAAGUCUGCCCCUUUUUCAUGUGUCCUUGUUGUCUAAAUAUAGUCACUAUCAUCAUCAUCAUCAUCAAAAUCAUUUCAUCACCAUCAGAAAUGCUUAUACAUUAUCCUGAUGUAUACGAAAGCUACUGUUUGGAAAGAAACUAAAAUAAAAGUCAGGUCACUUAACCACACAGAGCUGAUGUUAGAUGAAAGCAAGCAUUGAUACCAAAUGCAAUUUUACAUAAUAUUAGCUGUCAACAAAAUAUAUUUGGACAGCCACAUGGUAAUUUUACACAUUAUGUGUAAACAAGGUAUUGGUGGCAUCAUAUGGUAAAAACUCGGUAAUUUCAUCUCAGAAAUUCUCCUUCACAUCAGAAA
This 754-nucleotide small RNA is filed under the name Pongo abelii (Sumatran orangutan). Its description in RNAcentral is "processed transcript". The record is from RNAcentral. Lineage: Eukaryota; Metazoa; Chordata; Mammalia; Primates; Hominidae.